This 698-nucleotide small RNA is filed under the name Tetractomia tetrandra. Its description in RNAcentral is "eukaryotic LSU rRNA". The stretch from base 287 to 442 matches the Rfam family "5.8S ribosomal RNA". The record is from RNAcentral. Lineage: Eukaryota; Viridiplantae; Streptophyta; Magnoliopsida; Sapindales; Rutaceae.
GGAAGGAGAAGUCGUAACAAGGUUUCCGUAGGUGAACCUGCGGAAGGAUCAUUGUCGAAACCUGCCCAGCAGAAUGACCCGUGAACUCGUAAAAACACCGGAGGGGGCGUGCCUUGCGUCCGUUCCCCUCCCUUCUGCAUCAAGCGUGGGCUAGCUCUCACGUUUGUUGUGGAACAACCAACCCCGGGCGCAGCAUGCGCCAAGGAAAACUAACAAGAGAGCACGUUCUCAAGCCCCACACAUGGUGAGCUUGGGACGCGGUGCCUUCUUUCACAUUAUCUAUAACGACUCUCGGCAACGGAUAUCUCGGCUCUNGCAUCGAUGAAGAACGCAGCGAAAUGCGAUACUUGGUGUGAAUUGCAGAAUCCCGUGAACCAUCGAGUCUUUGAACGCAAGUUGCGCCCCAAGCUGUUAGGCUGAGGGCACGUCUGCCUGGGUGUCACGCAUCGUUGCCCACCCAACCCCUCUGGGGCCAGCGGUUUGGGCGGAGAAUGGCCUCCCGUGUGUUAACACUGCGGUUGGCCCAAAUAUGAGUCCUCGGCGACCAAAGCCGCGAUGAUCGGUGGUGCAAACGUGCCUCUCGAGAUCGCAUCGCGUGCUCACGUCUUCGAUCUGAGACUCAAGGACCCUGACGCUUUGCGCAAGCGGAGCUCGCAUCGCGACCCCAGGUCAGGCGGGAUUACCCGCUGAGUUUAAGC